UACGAAGGGGGCUAGCGUUGCUCGGAUUUACUGGGCGUAAAGGGCGCGUAGGCGGACAGUUAAGUCGGGGGUGAAAGCCCGGGGCUCAACCUCGGAAUUGCCUUCGAUACUGGCUGUCUUGAGUGUGAGAGAGGUGUGUGGAACUCCGAGUGUAGAGGUGAAAUUCGUAGAUAUUCGGAAGAACACCAGUGGCGAAGGCGACUUACUGGACACAUAUUGACGCUGAGGUGCGAAAGCGUGGGGAGCAAACAGG
Molecule: ribosomal RNA, 253 nt
Filed under: uncultured bacterium
Lineage: Bacteria
Description: partial 16S ribosomal RNA
Rfam family: Bacterial small subunit ribosomal RNA
Source: RNAcentral